ACCGUUCUUACAUUUGUAUUUAAUUCCACCUGAAGUAGAGUCUGUAACAGAUGUGCAUAUAGUUGGUACUAAGCAAAUAUUUGUUGAACAGAUGGAUCCAAAAAAUGAAUCAUGAUAUUUUAGACCUACAUGAGAUAACACAUGUUCACGUGGCCCAAUUCUUUCAUCUUACCAACCACAGAGCGGAAGCCAGGGGAUUAAAAGAGACAAACGGGAUCAUCCUGCCGAGUUGUCAUCUGUGUGUGGAAGUAAACAACAACCUGCUUACAUAGGCAAGGCCUCCAGGGAAGGAGCCGGCCGCUGGAAGGAGUGUGUUCCACCAACGGAAAAGAAGCAAGCAGAAACUCCAGAACAAGGACAAAACACAGAGCCAGCAUUUCAAGCAGCCCUGUGUUCUCUCCGUCUCUCCUCCCAACUUCUUCAUUUUAAAUUAUUCCAAUUAAAGGGUAAAAUUCGUUUA
Molecule: long non-coding RNA, 460 nt
Organism: Eptesicus fuscus (big brown bat)
Lineage: Eukaryota; Metazoa; Chordata; Mammalia; Chiroptera; Vespertilionidae
Exons: 2
Source: RefSeq, a predicted model, not a curated record